Molecule: ribosomal RNA, 1001 nt
Filed under: uncultured archaeon
Lineage: Archaea
Description: partial 16S ribosomal RNA
Rfam family: Archaeal small subunit ribosomal RNA
Source: RNAcentral
UAAGCCAUGUGAGUCGAGAGGUUCAAGACCUCGGCGUACUGCUCAGUAACACGUGGACAAUCUGCCCUGAAGUGGAGAAUAAUCCCGGGAAACUGGGGGUAAUACUCCAUAGUUCGUUAUUACUGGAAUGUUUUUCGAACGAAAGAUCCGUCGCUUCAGGAUGAGUCUGCGGCCGAUUAGGUAGUUGUUGGGGUAAUUGCCCAACAAGCCUGUAAUCGGUACGGGUUGUGGGAGCAAGAGCCCGGAGAUGGAUUCUGAGACACGAAUCCAGGCCCUACGGGGCGCAGCAGGCGCGAAAACUUUACCAUGCGGGCAACCGUGAUAAGGAAACCCCGAGUGCCAGCACAGGCUGGCUGUCCGCCAGUUUAAACAACUGGCGAAGAAAGGGCCGGGCAAGACCGGUGCCAGCCGCCGCGGUAAUACCGGCGGCUCGAGUGGUGGCCGCUAUUACUGGGCUUAAAGGGUCCGUAGCUUGAUAAUAGGGUCCCUUGAGAAAUCCGCCGGCUUAACUGGCGGGCGUUCAGGGGAAACUUGUUUUCUAGGGACCGGGAGAGGUGAGGGGUACUGCCGGGGUAGGAGUGAAAUCCUGUAAUCCCGGUGGGACCACCUAUGGCGAAGGCAUCUCACCAGAACGGGUCCGACAGUGAGGGACGAAAGCUGGGGGAGCAAACCGGAUUAGAUACCCGGGUAGUCCCAGCUGUAAACUAUGCUCGCUAGGUGUCAGGCAUGGCGCGACCGUGUCUGGUGCCGCAGGGAAGCCGUGAAGCGAGCCACCUGGGAAGUACGGCCGCAAGGCUGAAACUUAAAGGAAUUGGCGGGGGAGCACAACAACGGGUGGAGCCUGCGGUUUAAUUGGACUCAACGCCGGACAACUCACCGGGGACGACAGCAAUAUGUAGGCCAGGCUGAAGACCUUGCCUGAAUCGCUGAGAGGAGGUGCAUGGCCGUCGCCAGUUCGUACUGUGAAGCAUCCUGUUAAGUCAGGCAACGAGCGAGACCCA